UACGAUAUAACAUAGACGGUACACAUGGAAAACAAAGCCUGAAGUCUUUUAAAAAAUUUUAUGCUGCGCUUUUAGAUGCCAUUUCGCAAUUACCAGGUGUUACUAAUCCAGAAGAGCAAUUGCGCCGUGCUUUCAGGGUUCAAAAAAAGCGCCACUUUAAAAAUGCAGCAACAGCAAAUAAUCAGUAAUUAAUUUCUGAACUGAAUAAUUAAUAUAACGCCUUAUUCACACUUUGGACUGAAUCCUUAAUAUAAUUAUAAGAAAAGAAAGUACAAACUUAAGUUAUUUACUGAAUUUUGCCAUAAGAGCUUAACGUAUAUUUGCAAGUUUAAAAUGUAAGCGUAUUUAUAAAACAAAAUUGGUUCGAAAAGAACGUACAUAUGUACAGUUGCGCUAAAAAUAAUAGCAGUAAAAUUCAAAAUGAUGCUGUGGCAACUUAUCUUUAUUUAUUUAUUGUUAGUAAUUUUCAUUUUACAUAUGGGUCGAUCUACAUAUAUCAGAU
Rhagoletis pomonella (apple maggot) is the source of this 502-nucleotide long non-coding RNA. RefSeq lists it as uncharacterized. NCBI's taxonomy places the organism in Eukaryota, Metazoa, Arthropoda, Insecta, Diptera, Tephritidae. The record is from RefSeq and is a predicted model, not a curated record. The transcript has 2 exons.